UGGGGACUAUGCCUACUCGAAAGGGUAAGUUUCCUUCCUAGAGAAAGAAGCACAAUAUGGAUCUUAUCAUGCUCAGGAUUUUGUUGUAUUAUUACUUUCGUUAUGUGUUUGAUCUAUUUAACAUGUCCGAUAUUAUUAUGCAUGUAGCUGGCUGCUCCAAGUGAAUUGCCAUUCAAUUCUGCCUAUAGAUGAAUUUCAAUAUGAUACCUAUUAAGUAAUAUUAAGUAUUGCUUUAAGGGAAACAAUUUUUGUGCUUGCUUUAUCAUUUAAGGUUUUGUAGCCUCUUUUGAUUUGUGGACGAAGAUUUGAUUUCAUCAUGAUCGCACCAAACUCUUGCCUGAGUUUGUCAUUCCAUACUUUUGAGAUAAUCAAGGGAAUGCAUGUUUAGUUAGAUCAGAGAAGGAUUUUAUUGGAUUGAACUUUUCUUUACUGCAGCAACAACAUUAAAUGCCCAUCUG
RNAcentral lists this unclassified non-coding RNA (458 nucleotides) under Hevea brasiliensis (rubber tree). Lineage: Eukaryota; Viridiplantae; Streptophyta; Magnoliopsida; Malpighiales; Euphorbiaceae. The record is from RNAcentral.